AAAAAAAAGAAAGUAUUUUUGGCAAAAAUCAACAAUACGUUGACCUUCCCUCACGAAGAAUGUUACGCAAAAGAGAAAAGUCUGUGUAGAAGAAUUUACUAACAUUAUCUACGCGUUUCAACGACGAACCCAAUCAUUCAUUCAUAUUCCAAUCAAACUUCAUUUUUCUUUCUCUCUUCAUCUCAAAUUUCAAUCUCUCUUUCACCUCUAAACAUCCAACGCCGUUCAUUUUUAUUCUUCUUCUUCUUCUUCUGUUGAAUCUUCUUAUUUUUCAAUUAUUGUUGCUUUACGUCCAAGUUUCUUCGUUAAGGGAGACCAAAUUAAUACGUUACUUUUAUUCUCACAGUGUAACCUACGAUGCUUUAUGAUUUGUCUAAGCUUUUUUGGUGUAUGUAGAAAGAAAAUGAACUUUUACCUAUCUGCUGUUUGAUCUUGUUGAUUUUUAGGGUUGUGGAAUUUUCUUCUUUCUUAUUAGGUUACGCUGUUUUUUAAUUAUUGGCUAUUAGGGUUUUUUUGGGGUUUUGUCUAGGUUAAGUUUGGGAUUGAAAAAAAAGGAUUUUUUUUUGUUUUUAAUUUGUGGGUUGUUCUAGAAUAUAUUAGGUGAUUCGGGGUUUGGUUUGUUUUGAAAGAUUGUGAAUUUAUUAGGUUUUGGGUUGGGAAGGUGAGAUUUUUGAGUUGGGAAUUGGGGUUUGACUGAUGGAUGAAGCUGGAAGUUCAAGUUCCUUGCCUCCUUUUCUGGCAAAGACUUAUGAGAUGGUGGAUGAUCCUUCCUCGGAUCCUAUCGUUUCGUGGAGUAUGAGUAACAAAAGUUUUGUUGUAUGGAAUCCUCCAGAAUUUGCAAGGGUUUUGCUUCCUAGAUUCUUUAAGCACAAUAACUUCUCCAGUUUUAUCAGGCAGCUGAAUACAUAUGGAUUUAGGAAAGUUGAUCCAGAACAAUGGGAGUUUGCCAAUGACGAUUUUAUAAAGGGGCAACCACAUCUUUUGAAGAAUAUUCAUAGACGGAAGCCGGUUCAUAGCCAUUCUCUGCAUAAUCUUCAAGCACAAACGCCUUUAUCAGAGUCUGAAAGGCAAAAUUUGAAUGAUGAAAUAGAGAAGCUGAAACAAGACAGAGAACAACUUGUUACAGAGAUAAAGAGAUACCAACAUGAGUUUCAAACAUAUGAGAUUCAAAUUCAUUGCUCGAAAGAUCGGUUGGAGAAGUUGGAGCAAAAGCAACAGAAGAUGGUGUCUUCUGUUUCUCAAGUACUGCAGAAGCCUGUGAAUGCUGUAAGUCUCUUGUCACUGACAGAAACAAUGGAUAGAAAACGAAGGUUGCCAGCGAGAAGUGGCUGUGUUAAUAAUGAAGCUAGCGUUGAAGAUGCUAUGGAAACUUCUGUAGCUUUGACCGGAGAAAAUGCAGAGGGUUCCUCUAUUUUGACAUUAAACACAGAGAGAUUGGAUCAACUUGAGUCAUCCGUGUUAUUUUGGGAGAUUAUUGCGCAGGAAGUUGCCGACAGCCUGGUUCACACUCAUUCAAACAUUGAUUUUGAUGAAUCUACAAGCUGUGCUGAUAGUUUGUCUAUAUCUUGUCGGCAAAUAGAUGUUGAAGUUCGACCUAAGUCACCUGAAAUUGACAUGAACGCUGAACCAGCUGCUGCUGCUCCUGAGACCGUUGCAUCAAAAGAACAACCAGUGGGUAUCACCACUGCAGCAACUGGGGUUAAUGAUGUAUUUUGGGAACAGUUCUUGACAGAGGAUCCUGGUGCAUCAGAAGCACAGGAAGUACAAUCCGAAAGAAAGGAUAAUAAUAGCAGAAAAAAUGAAGGAAAACCUGGUGAUCACGGAAGAUUUUGGUGGAAUAUGCGGAAAGGAAAUAAUCUUCCAGAACAAAUGGGGAAUGUUGGUCAAGUAGAGAAAAUUUAGUAGCUAUUUAUAAUUUAUUCUGGUUGUGAUGCCUCACAAUUUACAUGUAAUAAAUCUUGGAAAUUAUUACAGGUUCAGGCCUUACUGGUGCUUUGGGUUGGCGGUUCUUGGUAAUAUUUAUUCUUGUAUGAAAAUAAGAACAAAAUAACAAAAGAGUUGGGGUAAUUAUUAUUUGAAUGUCCAUAUAAGUAACUUCAUUAGUAACUGAAGUGCAUUGUUGUGAACAGUUUGAAUAUUUCGUGAGUUUCUGCAUAAUAUCUCAGCUCUCAGGCUUUGGCCCAAGGAUCUUUAGAUAAUUACAUCACAUUUUGAUUCUUAAGUAACUAACAUGUGACAUUUAUUAUGCUACUGUAUGUUCCUGCUUCUGGAACUGAUUUUGGGAAUUAUUCCUAGGAUGAAUAUAAUCUCUAUUCAGCAGUACAGUAGUGUUGGCUUUACUUGUUUUGUGGAUAUUAAUCACUAUUUAAUGUUAAUAUGAUUAUAGAGAGGUGUUUUCUUAACCCAGCUUCAUUUCUUGUCUGAUGCUUAGCUGUCUUUCUGAGAUUUUAAUUUUUUAUUCAUUUUAGACAGUAGUGCUGCAAGUGCAAUGGGUGGUCUAUAUACAUGUCAAAUUUUUUAUUCAUUUUUUUAUUCAGAUUUUUUUAUUCAGAUUUUUUUAUUCACCUAGUCACCCACGAAUGUUUCAAUGGCUCUACUUUUGUAUGUCUUUACAGUUAAGCAGAAGGUCUAAACUUGGGUUGCCUUUAGAAGGCCCAACAACUGUGAGAUGAUCACCCACCGAUACUGUAAAGCAAGAAAAGGCAUGAUUGAGAUAAUGACCUUUGAAACUGUGGCUAAUUUCUAUUUAUUUCUAGAAAUAUUAUCAAGUCAUGGAAGACUUUGAACUUUUGAACUUCCUUUGACAUAAUGAGUAUGACAGGUUUGAAGCUGAACUAUUUUUAAUUAGUCUUUUUACUCUUUUACAGAUUCAAGCCUCAGACCUUUUUAUAGUUUUCUCUACUUUUAAGUCUCACCUCUUGCUUUUAUUGUUUUUCUAAAGUCACCAAAAUAUGCCAUGACUUGUCUGGAUUAGAUAUCCUUUAUCCACUAGAUGUAAAUCGCUUAUUCAAAUAUUGUUAAUGCUCAAUUCAGAUCAUGCGAAACUUCGGUGGUUAAAUAUAUUUUAAUAUUGAAUAGUUUGGAUAGUAUGACUGUGAUAGUCUACACUCUACAUGUCCAAAAUGAUAAAAUGGUAUAUUUAAGUUUUCAUUAGCUUCAAUGAUAAAUAAGCUUUGAAGCAUUAUAAUGUUGAUGGCCUAACACAACUGAUGAAGUCAAAAGGCAUUUACUGGAGUUGUUUCCAUUCUGUAUGCUACUGCUAAGUAGUUAGACACUGACUACAUCUGCAAUCUUACCCCCUUCAUUGACAUUCAAGAUAUCUACUACAAUGUGAUAUCCACUUUGAAGAUUUAGCCAUUGUCAAUCCUGAAAACAUUCAGCCGCUGAUGACUCUUAUUUUGAAACAUACUGUGCAUUUGGUUAAAUUCAGUCUGGUAGCCACUCUGCCAGAAGUGUACGCCAUUGGCUAUGUAAUUACAACAGCACAAAGGCUCACAAUCUUGAUUAUGGGAAUAUGUGAUUUGGAGACAUCAGAUUUCUGAAAAUAUUAACUUCUUUUUUUGGUUAGCUUUUCAUGAUAUCCUUCCAGCCAAUGCAAUUUGAUUGUUCAGUCCUGUUGCAGAUGUGGUAAUCACUGAAACCAUUUUGCAUUGUCUUAAUGAAUGUCGAAGGGCUCAGCUUAAUUUAAUAAAAAAUCAUUUUUUUUAAGUAAACAAGAUCCCACUGUCAUCUUUGUUGCCUUUCUCACUGAGUUGGAAUCGUAUCCAUUUUUCAAAAGAAAUUGAGUUCCAUUACUGAAGUUUUUGGUAUAUAAAUGUAUAUAUUUUUGGAAAUGAUGACAUGUAUUUUGUAUAAUUGAACUUUUAUACACUCAAAAUUAGUAUCUACUUCUUUUGAGAAAUAGAGAGGACCCCUACCCUGUUAUUAUGUCUUUCAUCUCCUUGCAUUGGGAUCUUUCUUUGUGUUCACCCCUGCCAUCUAACUCUGAUAAACAUUUUUCAAUCUCUGAGAAGUAUAUAGCUAGUAAAAAAUAAAAAGAAAAGAAAGUUGAGGAUGGAAACUACUACUAAGUUCUAACUCUGAUACUUUGGAAAUGCAGGAGAAUUUCCAAUGAGACAAAUGGACUAUUUGGUACACACUGAAUUAGAUUUACUCACUUCACUCUUGUAUCAGAUACAUAUCAUAUUUGAUACUUGUAUCAUGUCUUUGUAUUAUAAUAGUUGAGAGAAGAGCAAAGAAGGGAAGAUUAUUGAAGAUAGUGAAGCAUGAUGAACAUUAGUAUCCAACAAGCUAUAAGGCACUUCGAUAAGCUGCUCAAGAGAACUAAUAAAAAUAAGGUAUAAACAGCUAUAGGCCAGUCA
Molecule: RNA transcript, 4361 nt
Organism: Trifolium pratense (red clover)
Lineage: Eukaryota; Viridiplantae; Streptophyta; Magnoliopsida; Fabales; Fabaceae
Gene name: heat stress transcription factor A-4c
Exons: 3
Source: RefSeq, a predicted model, not a curated record